AACGAACGCUGGCGGCAGGCUUAACACAUGCAAGUCGAACGGACGUAGCAAUACGUUAGUGGCAGACGGGUGAGUAACGCGUGGGAACAUACCCUUUGGUUCGGAAUAACUCAGGGAAACUUGAGCUAAUACCGGAUAAGUCCGAGAGGAGAAAGAUUUAUCGCCGAAGGAGUGGCCCGCGUCUGAUUAGCUAGUUGGUGAGGUAAUGGCUCACCAAGGCGACGAUCAGUAGCUGGUCUGAGAGGAUGAUCAGCCACACUGGGACUGAGACACGGCCCAGACUCCUACGGGAGGCAGCAGUGGGGAAUAUUGGACAAUGGGGGCAACCCUGAUCCAGCCAUGCCGCGUGAGUGAUGAAGGCCUUAGGGUUGUAAAACUCUUUUGUCCGGGAAGAUAAUGACUGUACCGGAAGAAUAAGCCCCGGCUAACUUCGUGCCAGCAGCCGCGGUAA
Molecule: ribosomal RNA, 451 nt
Filed under: uncultured bacterium
Lineage: Bacteria
Description: partial 16S ribosomal RNA
Rfam family: Bacterial small subunit ribosomal RNA
Source: RNAcentral